GGGUUAUACACAGUGUGGCACAAAGACCGGUGCAUCACCCAAAGGUCUCACCUCAGCAUGGCUGACAACUCAUGGAAGAUUCAUCCAAAAGGAUACCUGCACGAUCUGUAAGCAGCUCUUUGGAAGAGCUCCUUCUAACCCGGACAGAGGACAAUUAGCAGAAGGUUGUUCCUACCUCUCACUGUGUAUUCCUUCAAAGAUCAAACCCUGGCUGCCAGGCUUGCGGAGCAUGUGACCCUAACCCAGUCUCUGGUGGCGACUGAGGGCAGCAGCUAUGCCUAGCACAGAGGAAGUUCUCUUCAGGAGCAGCAGCAAGAGGCUAUAAGGACUAACAGAGUCUAGCAUCCUGGUGCCGAUUUCCUCUCCGGAAGCAACUGACUACAAGUUACCUCCGUGAGCCAGUCCAUGCCUGAUGUAUCAUGGGAAAAACUAAAGUUCCUGACAGCCUGUUACAUGCUACACACUCAGGGACUGGACAUAAAGAACCAGGAAGCUAGAACCAUGGUGUGAUUCAUCCUGGGAACAAACACACCGGAAUCUGAGCUGACCUCAGCUGCUGCACGGGCCCUCAAAUACAACUUCCUGCUCAAGAAAAUGCCAGUAGAGAUCAGAAUGCCUCGUGAGUGAGAAACUCGCAAGAAUUUAAAAUGCAGUUAUUUAAGGCCCCAAA
Long non-coding RNA from Rattus norvegicus (Norway rat), 670 nucleotides. RefSeq lists it as uncharacterized. The record is from RefSeq and is a predicted model, not a curated record. Lineage: Eukaryota; Metazoa; Chordata; Mammalia; Rodentia; Muridae.